This 745-nucleotide long non-coding RNA is filed under the name Struthio camelus australis. Its description in RNAcentral is "lncRNA (ENSSCUG00000002745.1)". The record is from RNAcentral. Lineage: Eukaryota; Metazoa; Chordata; Aves; Struthioniformes; Struthionidae.
CUGUUCCCGUUUUCUAAGUUGAGAUGUUUGUUUGUUUUUCUCUGAAAAGAUAGGGGAAAACUAUAGAUUUGGCCUUAGCACCAUGUAAAUAAAGAGGCUGUGCAGCAGAUCAGUCAGUUGCCUCCUUGUAAUAACCACUAGUAUGUUUUUACCUCUUUAUCUAAUAUAGUUUGAAGCCCUUAAUAUUUUAACCAAUUGUUAUUUAGCCUUUUAAACUACCUAUUUCUAGAACCUAUAUCUAGAAAUAAUGAUUUAUAAAUUUUCAGCUACUAAAUGGCUAAUGUUGAAUGAACGAAGAGCAUUUCUGGACGUUUACUUAGCAUCCCCCUGAAGUGAAACGUGUAUGUACUUGGCCUCUUUACCUAUUUCUUCUCAUUGACAGAAAAAUGGAAAAUGCUCGAGACUGUAGCAAAGGAAGAAUGAAGACAGGAAGGAAGACAGGAAGAAUGAAAGGGUUCAAGCUGUUCUGCAGUGCGACAUCUUAUAUUAGACACUACUGCUAAGUACUGACAUCUUGGGAUGACAAAAAAUGAAAACAAUGGAUUCAAACAUCAUCAUUCUCAAAUAGAUUCUGAGCGUUCCAGCUACUACUUAUGAUCUAUUUGGACAACAGAAAGGACAAUACUACUUUAAGAACUCAGAAACUUUCUGAACAGGUUAGUUGUAGCAUUCUUAUGGUCUCAUUUUACUUCAGGAACCAGUAAAAGUGGAGGGGCAUAAAUACAAGGGUCAGUUUUAUGUUGGG